AUGGUGGCUCCACCUUGCUGGUCUCUCACUGAGCUGGAGGAAUCAUUCCCAUGUCCCCAUCACGUUGAGGGAUGGGAACACUCCCCUGGGAGAGACCUGGGGUGCAGUGUCUUCUGGUGUGAGCCUCGCUGUUAUCCUCCCUUGCACCCUCAGUCUGAAAAAAAGCCAAAGUAUUUGGGUUUUCCAUGUUUUCCGGAGAACCCAGGUGGGGUAGGGGCUUCUCUCUGGAUCUCCCAUCUGCCAGCAAAGGCAGGUUUUUCACCUGGUGCAGAACCAGGGAGCCUUUUGCUGAGACCUUGGGUGUGUGCCCGCCUGUCCCGGUGUUUCUGCUGCUUCUCCUCCCCUUCCCUCCUCUGUCUCCAGAAAAGUGUUGUGUUCCUGGUGGAGAAGAGGAGCAGGGAAGCUCUGCAGCUCUCUGGAGAAGUGUACAGCCGUCAGAUGCCACCCCCCCCCAGCAGAAAAUACCCACAGAGCUCCCGUUUUGCCCACGCUGCGACGCCGCUCCCUGGGGACCUGGGUAUUGUCCCACCGCAGGCAGAGUUGUUUUGUUUUUUUUUUUUUCCAUUGAAAUAGAGUUUGUAAAGCAAAAGCAAAUAAUGUGAGCUUGAAGGAGCGGAAAGCUUUUCCUCUUAAGAUGCCUUCCCUCGUGUAUAUUCAAAAAAUCCAGCUCGCCAGGGCAGGGGAAGUUCAGCCUCAUCCAGGCGUCGUUGGCCUCGUGUAACUGCUCCGUGCUGGGGAAGGAACGUGCUGUUCAGCCCCUUGUUUAUCCCGUUGCAGGAGUCAGGGCACCGACUUUGCUUCCUCAAACCAUUUCAGACUCUUAGCGCGUCCCACAGUCCUGUACCUUGCCCUUCAGCCCCAAAUCAGCACCUAUUCCUUGAACCAGCACUUACCACUCUUGGAAAUGAGGAUUUAAUCCUUUUGGAGGUGGGACUGGGGUCUCGGGGCAGACCCCUCUCCAUCCCCCGUCAGCAGCAUCCAGCCCCCUCUCUUCUCAGAGCUCUACAGUGAUUUUUUUUCCUUUUUUCUGAUUUGUAAAGAUGCAAAGUCCACGCCAGCAGCUGAAAUUCCUUGUCAUUAUGUCACUAAAACCGUGGUGGUGCUGGGUGUCCCAGCCACCGAGCAGUGGGGGGUGGCUGACCCCCAGGUUUGGGGCUGUGGAGGGACCAGCUUCACUCCAACACUCUCUUCCUUCAGGUUUGGUUUUGUUUCCUUGUGGCAGCAGCUUCGAGCUGGUCUGUCAUUCCCGGCGGCGCCAGGAGAACCACGGGUUGGUUUUGUUGUGCUCUGUGCAUCGUGAAACGCGCUGCUUCGCCAAUAAAUCAUUGUAGAAAAAUCCCA
This 1341-nucleotide long non-coding RNA is filed under the name Calidris pugnax (ruff). RNAcentral describes it as "lncRNA (ENSCPUG00000018385.1)". The record is from RNAcentral. Lineage: Eukaryota; Metazoa; Chordata; Aves; Charadriiformes; Scolopacidae.